GCGGGACUAGUUUAGUGGCAGAAUGGGAGUUUUCCAAACUCUAGGCGGGAGUUCGAUUCUCCCGUCCCGCA
RNAcentral lists this transfer RNA (71 nucleotides) under Minisyncoccota bacterium. RNAcentral describes it as "tRNA-Gly". It matches the Rfam family "tRNA". Rfam says of the family: Transfer RNA (tRNA) molecules are approximately 80 nucleotides in length. The record is from RNAcentral. Lineage: Bacteria; Bacillati; Minisyncoccota.